UCGCUGGAAAAAAUACCCGUACGCUUCCCUCGCCUCGACCCUGCCUUGCCGAGCCAAAUCCCCUAGCCGCCGCCGCACCACUCGCCGCCGCCGCCGCCGCCGCACCUCUGCCCGCUCGCCGCCCCUGCCGCAGCGCUCGAGCGCAGCUUCUGGAUCAGGUCAGCGCGGCGGCUCGAGGGGCUGGGGACGAUGCGUCUGCUCGGCGCAGACCGGCGGCGGCGGGAUCCAGCGGGCGCGGGAGAAGGAGGUAUCCGGCGCGGCGGGAGAGGUCCUUGCAGGUGGAGGCAGGCCUCCAUGGCUGGCAAGGAGAGCUCCAAGGUCAUGGCGGGGCUUUGAUUUUUCUGGUAUAAAAGAGAGACAGAGGGGGAUCCAGGGAGGAGGAGAGGUAGGAGAAGAAGGACGGGGAAGAAGGAAGGGUGCGGCAGGGGUGCAGCGGUGCGAGGGCACUGGUCUCGCGCGUGAGGAGCGCCUCUCCUCGGGAGGAUAGGGAGGGAGCGAGUGAAACUCAAAUCCACUUCAGAUCAAGGUAAUGUUGUAGAAGUACGAAGAAGCAAGCUGACCAGAUGUACACGUACUAGCCGGCAACGACGAUGAAGCAAGCCAACCAGAUGUGCACGAAACUACCAUACAUCAUGCCUGAUUGAUCCUCCGGUACGUGUUCCAUUGGCUAAUAGCCCAUGCUAGCUAGCUAGCAACCAUGUAAAUUUCCCACGCUUGAUCGAUUCCUUUAGCACUUUAUUAAUUUUAUAUGUUCUCAUGGUUAUCUAGAUAAUACUAACUGUUGAUGUUUCUUUCACGCAUACAUGGCUUUGCUAGGAGUUUUUCCACUGGUGAGGUCUGAACUCUGAAUAUUAUGAACUUAUAAGGAUAAAUCUUAUAGCAGAUCAAAAUCAUAGUCCACGCAAAAAAAAGAUCAGAAUCAUGGUUGUGCUGAUUCUAUAGGGGCCUCAUGAUGGUUUGUGUUCUUUUAUUCAAAUGAAAAAACCAAGAUUAUUAUUGUAACUGUUACAGUUGUACUAGCAGGAUUAUCCUAGAAGCUGUGUCAAUUUUUCAUCAAUUGAUAACACAAUAAGGUAGUGAAUCAUCUUUAUAGACUUUACCAUGCCUAGAUUGGUUGACUUGGAUCAUGUGUAUGUCUUAAACUUUUAGAAAAUUCUGACUUUUUAUGCUAAGCUCGUAUUUGAAGAUACAAGUUGAGGUCUGUCUUGGGACAGUGUGACUAAAAAACGAACCUUCAGUUUCUGCAAUCUGAAGAAAAAAGCUGCAAUCUAAAGCCUUCUAUAAGAAUAUCAUCACAGAGUAGAUCAAAAAGUUGGAGCGGCGAGAUAACAGUACUGAUUGAUUUUGAUAUGCUGAAAAUUUGCCAAAGUUGAGUCGCCAGGAAUUUGACGUAGCGUGUGAGGAUUUUAGCAACAUAAUUGGCUCAACUCCGGAGAAUGUAGUCUACAAAGGAGCAAUGAAGGAUGGACCUGAGGUUUCUUUCAUAUUACUAUUCUCCUUUGAAGGUCAUUGGACUAGCCAGCAUGAGCUCUUUUACCAAAACAAGGUUAUUGAUAUGGCAAGGUUGAAUCAUGAGAACAUAGCAAAGUUUCUGGACUAUUGCAGAGAGAGUGACCCAUUCUCGAGGAUGUUAGUCUUUGAGUACGCAUCAAUUGGGACCCUGUAUGAGCACCGUACCUACACUAUGGGGAAGUGGCCCAAUUCUCUUGGCUCAGACGAAUGAAAAUAGCCAUCGGCAUCGCCCAAAGUUUAAGGUAUCUGCACACCGAGUCGCGGCCUCCUUUCGCUAUAUCAGAGCUGAAAUCCAAUUCAGUAUACGUUCCAGAAGAUUUUACCCCCAAGGCUGACGACGUCAUCUACUGAAGCCCCACCGGCGACGCGAUGGGAGAGCUCCAACCUGUACGUGGGUGUGGGGACGCAGAUCCGCGUCGCCAGCCUACACAAGGCCAUGGUCAAGGUGCCGACGCAGGGUUCAUCAUCCGUCUUCGUCAGUGUUAAAGAAGAUGGAUUUUUACCUGAAUAAAUUGCGUGUAUAGAUAUGUAGAGGAUGAACUCAACAAGCGGAUCUUUCAAGGUGACUUUGUAUGUGAUUUCUACUUCUAAAAAUUAGAAAAUACCUUCAGAUCAAAGCAGCGGAUUUGUAGAUUUCUGGGUAUUGGUGCUACUCCAUCUCCAUCCAGCUUACGGUCUUUGGUCACUGAUUCUAAGCAUUGGGAAUGGCUGAACAGGGGACGAUCAGGAUUACGAUGAGGGCGAGACGUUGAAGCUGGCGUCGGCAACUUUGACCGCAACCGCGACCUUAACAUCGACCAUGGGAGCGAGGCGUCAGCCCUUGACAUAGACCGUGUUGGCCCCUUGUGUUUCUGACCAGCCGCGCUCCGGUUCCGGCAGCUCCCAUUCCAGUCGAUCCCUUCCAGGAGCCUUCAGAUCGCUAAUGAUACUAAGAUUGCAUGAGUCCAUGAAGCAAGCAAUAAUCUAUCUCAAAAUAUUGUGUCCAAGCAUAUAACGGUUCAUCAAUUUUCGAAAUGAGACUAUUGCUAUGUAGCACGCUGGCAAGACAAGAGAAUAAUUCUUGUAAGGCAUAUGUCUGAGCUAUGCCGCCUCCCACCAAACUCGAGCUCGGCGCUCUCGCAUGCAAGGCUAAGCUAUCUCCACCGACUCCUUUUUCUGUCCGAGCUCCUCCCUACCCUGGCAAAACCAAAUGCUACAAUCUCCUUUUUUUGGGAUUCUAAAACUUAUGUCAGUUCACUGUCAUGGAUAGAUUAGUGAUAAUGAGGUUAGGAUCACUACAUUGGAGAGGAUGAGGAGCUAUACUGGCUACGAGAUGUUGCUUGAGCAUUUCCAGCAGUGGCAGUAGACACAUGUGGCAGCACUUCUGGGUAGAUUUUGUCCAUUUACUUUUUGUAUCCUUUGAAUUUGAAUAUUCUGUGCAAUUGAGUCUAAAUCUGCUCAAAUUAAUCUUGUACACUCUGAAUAAAAUUAAUGUUUUGUAUCUUACUAAA
Long non-coding RNA from Triticum aestivum (bread wheat), 3002 nucleotides. RefSeq lists it as uncharacterized. The transcript has 12 exons. The record is from RefSeq and is a predicted model, not a curated record. Lineage: Eukaryota; Viridiplantae; Streptophyta; Magnoliopsida; Poales; Poaceae.